AUGGUUCAAAUGCAGAGAAUAAUUUCGCCACACCUAGUGUGUGUGUGUGUGACAAUCAUUGGCACUUUAACUGAACUUUUAAUGAUGUUAUUCAUAUUAUUCAGAUUGAAAAGCUUAAGGGGCCGCAUGUGGCCCCCGGACGUUCAUUUGCCCAGGUCUGUGCUAAGGUGAUCUCUAGAAGUGGUCCACACUCCAUGUCAGUAGGUGGCGGUAAUGCACACCAGAAGGUUGCUUGCCAACCUGCUAUAAAAACAAAAGAAGAAGAAGAAGAUCCACACUUCCGGGUGGUGAUGACGUCGCGUCGUGACGUCAUAUUUCAAAAUGGCAGAGCCCGCGGAAAGACCCCCUGGAGUCGACUCCAUUUCCCAAGAAAAGAUGUCAACAGCGCGACUUGUAACAAUUAUAAGGCCGAGGAGGGUUAUUUGAACACACACCAUUCAAUUAUUAUAAAUGAAAGUCACGUUUUUUAACCGCUCCGGUCUCGUCCCAGCGGAAGUGACGCUAGCACGUCAUCAGAAUACAACAGAUCAACACGACGAGAGAGACAUUCUGCCGCUAGACAAAGGUCACCGAGCAGCGACGAAGUUUGCAUUUUCGGUAGAGGUCCAGGGAGCCACGAGGGCGGUGCUAAAGAGACGCGGGUUGCUGACCCCCGGCCUACACCCUAGACUGGCCGCCAGUUCAUCACAGGACACAUGAACAAGCCUUCGCCCUCAAAUCAGAGAAAAACAACAACACCAGAAAUGUGUCCCGUGAAAAACCGUCCGACCAGAACUCUAAUAACUAAAGUUCCUUGGGUGAAUAAUGGUAACUCACUACACCGGUAUGUUUUAGGGCUUUCAUGGCGAGUUUACUGACUGAAAUAAGUAAUAACUUUACACUGCUUUUUAUUAGAAAUGGCAACAGCAGAGGAUGGAUGUCCCAUAACAAGAAGGUGGAGAAAAAGAAGAAGCUUAUCGACUACGGUGUCGGCACGGACUACAAAGGCGGACCUGCACAAAUUUUCAGGUACCAGAAGGUAAGAAAAGUUUCUUUUGCAUAAUAUUGCGAAACAAAACACCAGAAAAUAUGUCUUACCUUAUACACACACCAUAAUAAUACUCCUAUGUUGAAGCACAGUACAAUCCAUCAAGCGGUGCAGUUUCAUAGCUGACCAAAGUCCUACUAAAACAUUUUGAUAGAUUUUUGAGCGCCGUGUGUAAUGUUCUAUAUUUUCAAGGGAGCAUAUACAAUGUUGGUGUUGUUUACUUGAGUCAUAUUGCGGUCUACACGAAAUCAAAUCAAAUCAAUAAUGGAGCAGCAUCUCCUCAUCCGGAAACAACCACACCGGAAAUGUGUCCCGUGAAAAACCGUUCAACCGGAACUCUCUAAUAACUAAACUUCCUUGGGUGAAUAAUGUAAACUCACUACACCGGUAUGUUUUAGCGCUUUCAUGGCAAGUUUACUGACAGAUAUAAGUGAGAACUUGACACUACUUUAUAUUAGAAAUGGCAACAGCGGAGGAUGAAUGUCACAUAACAAGAAGAUAGAGAAAAAGAAGAAGCUUAUUAACUACAAAGGCGGACACACAAUUUUUCAGGACUCAUGCAGAUCCCAAAUACAGAUCAGCAGGUACCAGAAGUUAAGAAAAGUUGCAUAAUAUUGCGAAACAAAACGCCAGAUAAUGUCUUACCUUAUACACACACCAUAAUAAUAGUGGUAUGUUUAAUGCGCCGACAAUCCUUCAAGCGGUGCGGCUUCAUAGCUGACCAAAGUCGUGCUAAAACAUUUUGAUAGAUUUUUGAGCGCCGUGUCUAAUGUUCUAUAUUUUCAACGGAACAUUUAAAAUGUUGCUGUUGUUUACUUAAAACCCAUCAUAG
Long non-coding RNA from Entelurus aequoreus (snake pipefish), 1859 nucleotides. RefSeq lists it as uncharacterized. The transcript has 4 exons. Lineage: Eukaryota; Metazoa; Chordata; Actinopteri; Syngnathiformes; Syngnathidae. The record is from RefSeq and is a predicted model, not a curated record.